GACGAACCGUGCGACCGUUGUUCGGAAUCACUGGGCUUAAAGGGCGCGUAGGCGGGCCGCCGCGUCCGGGGUGAAAUCCUCCCGCUCAACGGGAGAACGGCCUCGGAUACGGGCGGCCUGGAGGCGGGUAGGGGCACGCGGAACUGUGGGUGGAGCGGUGAAAUGCGUUGAGAUCCACAGGAACUCCGGUGGCGAAGGUGGCGUGCUGGACCCGAUCUGACGCUGAGGCGCGAAAGCCAGGGGAGCGAACGGG
Molecule: ribosomal RNA, 253 nt
Filed under: uncultured bacterium
Lineage: Bacteria
Description: partial 16S ribosomal RNA
Rfam family: Bacterial small subunit ribosomal RNA
Source: RNAcentral